GCAACGAGCGCAACCCUAUUGUUAGUUGCCAUCAUUCAGUUGGGCACUCUAGCGAGACUGCCGGUAAUAAACCGGAGGAAGGUGGGGAUGACGUCAAAUCAUCAUGCCCCUUAUGACCUGGGCUACACACGUGCUACAAUGGUUGGUACAACGAGUUGCGAGUCGGUGACGGCGAGCUAAUCUACUUAAAGCCAAUCUCAGUUCGGAUUGUAGGCUGCAACUCGCCUACAUGAAGUCGGAAUCGCUAGUAAUCGCGGAUCAGCACGCCGCGGUGAAUACGUUCCCGGGCCUU
This 292-nucleotide ribosomal RNA is filed under the name uncultured Streptococcus sp. RNAcentral describes it as "partial 16S ribosomal RNA". It matches the Rfam family "Bacterial small subunit ribosomal RNA", at positions 1089 to 1382 of the family's 1533-position model. The record is from RNAcentral. Lineage: Bacteria; Bacillati; Bacillota; Bacilli; Lactobacillales; Streptococcaceae.